Molecule: ribosomal RNA, 464 nt
Filed under: uncultured bacterium
Lineage: Bacteria
Description: partial 16S ribosomal RNA
Rfam family: Bacterial small subunit ribosomal RNA
Source: RNAcentral
CUACGGGGUGCUGCAGUGGGGAAUAUUGCACAAUGGGCGCAAGCCUGAUGCAGCCAUGCCGCGUGUGUGAAGAAGGCCUUCGGGUUGUAAAGCACUUUCAGUCGUGAGGAAGGUGGUAGUGUUAAUAGCACUAUCAUUUGACGUUAGCGACAGAAGAAGCACCGGCUAACUCCGUGCCAGCAGCCGCGGUAAUACGGAGGGUGCGAGCGUUAAUCGGAAUUACUGGGCGUAAAGCGCAUGCAGGUGGUUUGUUAAGUCAGAUGUGAAAGCCCGGGGCUCAACCUCGGAACUGCAUUUGAAACUGGCAGACUAGAGUACUGUAGAGGGGGGUAGAAUUUCAGGUGUAGCGGUGAAAUGCGUAGAGAUCUGAAGGAAUACCGGUGGCGAAGGCGGCCCCCUGGACAGAUACUGACACUCAGAUGCGAAAGCGUGGGGAGCAAACAGGAUUAGAUACCCUUGUAGUC